CCACCAUUUGCUCUCUGCACGGGAUAUUUGUUAUCUUUUACAUCAUGUUGGGUUUCUUUUGUUUCUUUCCUAGCGCUGGUGUUCGUAAUAUUCAAUAUUUUGUGAAUAAAGAGAACUUCGUGAUUUGCAAAUUGUAAUGGAGUUUGGUAUUUGUAUUGUUCUUAAUUGAACUGGGUAUUAACGUUCAUUGCACAUGUGAAGAAU
This 204-nucleotide long non-coding RNA is filed under the name Elaeis guineensis (African oil palm). RNAcentral describes it as "long non-coding RNA (EGUI_LNC021792)". Lineage: Eukaryota; Viridiplantae; Streptophyta; Magnoliopsida; Arecales; Arecaceae. The record is from RNAcentral.